Molecule: ribosomal RNA, 660 nt
Filed under: Sarcocystis sp.
Lineage: Eukaryota; Apicomplexa; Conoidasida; Eucoccidiorida; Sarcocystidae
Description: SSU rRNA
Rfam family: Eukaryotic small subunit ribosomal RNA
Source: RNAcentral
CUCAGGGAGGUAGUGACAAGAAAUAACAACACUGGUAAUUUUAUUUCUAGUGAUUGGAAUGAUGGGAAUUUAAACCCCUUUCAGAGUAACAAUUGGAGGGCAAGUCUGGUGCCGGCAGCCGCGGUAAUUCCAGCUCCAAUAGCGUAUAUUAAAGUUGUUGCAGUUAAAAAGCUCGUAGUUGGAUGUCUGCUGGAAGCAAUCAGUCCACCCUAUUUGUAGGGUGUGCACUUGAUGAAUUCUGGCAUCUAUGUCCCGAUAAGAGAACGGGCGUGUCACAUUAGCUGUUGGGCGAAAGCUCAAGAGCGUGUGUGCGUCCGUUCAUUGGGAUAAUACUGUUACUUUGAGAAAAUUAGAGUGUCUGAAGCAGGCUAAUUGCCUUGAAUACUGCAGCAUGGAAUAACAAUAUAGGAUUUCGGUUCUAUUUUGUUGGUUUCUAGGACUGAAAUAAUGAUUAAUAGGGACAGUUGGGGGCAUUCGUAUUUAACUGUCAGAGGUGAAAUUCUUAGAUUUGUUAAAGACGAACUACUGCGAAAGCAUUUGCCAAAGAUGUUUUCAUUAAUCAAGAACGAAAGUUAGGGGCUCGAAGACGAUCAGAUACCGUCGUAGUCUUAACCAUAAACUAUGCCGACUAGAGAUAGGAAAAUGUCAUUUUGCUGACUU